CAGUCGCCGCGGUAACACGUAGGGUGCGAGCGUUAAUCGGAAUUACUGGGCGUAAAGCGUGCGCAGGCGGUUAUAUAAGACAGUUGUGAAAUCCCCGGGCUCAACCUGGGAACUGCAUCUGUGACUGUAUAGCUAGAGCACGGUAGAGGGGGAUGGAAUUCCGCGUGUAGCAGUGAAAUGCGUAGAUAUGCGGAGGAACACCGAUGGCGAAGGCAAUCCCCUGGACCUGUACUGACGCUCAUGCACGAAAGCGUGGGGAGCAAACAGGAUUAGAUACCCGUGUAGUCCCUGUCUCUUAAAC
This 301-nucleotide ribosomal RNA is filed under the name uncultured bacterium. Its description in RNAcentral is "partial 16S ribosomal RNA". It matches the Rfam family "Bacterial small subunit ribosomal RNA", at positions 509 to 807 of the family's 1533-position model. The record is from RNAcentral.